AUGGAGAUGAAGACCGUGAGCCCCACGUGGGACAACCCGAUUCCCCUGCGUCUACCCCGGCGCUUAGAACGGCGCUCGGCCCAUAGUGAGCGCUUAACAGAUACCGACAUUAUUAUUAGAAAAGGAGCGGCUCCGAGUGGCUGUCCUCCUCCUCUUCAAGUGUCCACCCUUCUCCUCUGCCGCCUUCCGGGAGAGACAGCUGGCAGGCAAGCCCGUCCCGCCCCGCCCCGUCCCAACCCACCACGCUCCGCUCCCCACCGACGUGGCUUUGCCCUCCUCUCCCUUCGGUCUGUCCCCCCGACCUUCCCCCAACCCCAGGACCCAGAGCGGCCCUCUGCCCUCGGCCUUUCAACCCGCCAACCCGGGUACCCGGUCCCUCCCCACCUCCUCGCCCCCCCCAGCUCGCCCCUCGCCCCCUCACUCCCACGCUCGGAAACCUCUCCGCGGGCUGGAACUUCCUCCUCCACCUCCCCAAUCUUCUGUCCGUCCUCCGUCGGGACUCUCCCCUCUGCCUCUCGCCCCGGCUCACCCCGGCCCCUUGGUAUUCCUGCCCUCCCAGAUCCACUCCCAUCUUCGUCGCUCCUGCCGUGGAGUUCGCCCAACUCUCCAAGUACAUUCAUUCAACAGUGUUUACCGAACGCUUACUACGUGCACCGUCCUAAGCGCUUGGAAUGGACGAUCCUCCGGGGAAAUCGAACUUCCUCCUCUACAUCCUCCAGCUCCCCCUUGGCCCUCACCCACUGCCGUCCCUUGUGCUCGACUCCCCCUCGGCCUCGAGUUGGGCCGCACCGCCUUCUCCUGAUUUUUAUUUCCUUCCGCCCUAUUCCCGCCCGGACGGGACGGACCGGACCAGGUUGGUCCGACGGACGUUCACUCGGCGGUCGGGUUGGCGAGGUCUCUCGACUCCUCGAUCGAGUUAUUAGAACCGCCGGGGCUAUUCUGGAAUGCGCCCGUGCUUCUGCCGGCCGAGCCGGUCUUCAGGCGGUGACAGUCGCGGCCUCCUUUCGGAUCGGUCAGGCCCCUCGCGGAUCAACUUGGUUGCCGUCCGAGCGCUUAGUACGGCGCUCUGCACACCGUAGGCGCUCGAUAAAUCCGACCGGAUGGCACGAACCCACCGCCACGCGCCGAACUAGCGCGGAGGGCUCCUCUCCGCUCCUCCGGGCCUCCCCGGCCCGAGUUCUGGCUCCGUCGCUUCCUCUCGGAGGCCUCACCGGUUCCGUGUUGAUUUGGAGUCCGUGUGUCCGUGGCACCUCCUUACCCCUGGGAGAAAUGGCUCGACCCCGGGGCUGGACCCAAUCCGGCCCCGGCCGUCUCUAG
RNAcentral lists this long non-coding RNA (1317 nucleotides) under Ornithorhynchus anatinus (platypus). RNAcentral's name for it is "lncRNA (ENSOANG00000048461.1)". The record is from RNAcentral. Lineage: Eukaryota; Metazoa; Chordata; Mammalia; Monotremata; Ornithorhynchidae.